Molecule: non-coding RNA, 947 nt
Organism: Girardinichthys multiradiatus
Lineage: Eukaryota; Metazoa; Chordata; Actinopteri; Cyprinodontiformes; Goodeidae
Source: the annotation of a RefSeq genome assembly
UUUUUGAAGAUGAUUCUGGGUCAGAAGAAGCUGAGAACCUGUUAACCAGGAGGAAGAGGAGUUGAGAGGUUCAGGGAGGAGCUGAGAUGUUACUGAACUCUAGAAGAAACUCAAACUUCCUCAUUCAACACAGUUCAACACAUAAACAUCUACUCUGCUCAACAUGGACUAUUAUGGACUUUCUCUGCUCAUCGCCUCACUUCUAACAGGUGUCAGCUGUGAUCAACUGACUCCACAUAAGAAGGACGUUUUGGGUUUAGAAGGCAGCUCUGUUACUCUGUCCUACAAUUUAUCCAGACAAGCAGCUGUGAAUGAUUACUUCUUCUGGUAUCGACAAUAUCCUGGAAAACCUCCAGAGUUCCUGAUCUCUCACACUGGAAAAGGAAGCAAACUCCAGGAUCCAGUUCCUGGUUUUUCCUUUAAAGUGAGAGAUGAUAAAACCCAGAUGGACCUGCAGAUCAUCUCUGCUGCAGUGACAGAUUCUGUUGUGUACUACUGUGCUCUGCAGCCCACAGUGACAGGAAACACCAGAACUCUGUACAAGAACCUGCAGUACUCCACAUCAUCCACUAGAGGACCUCACACACUGUUAAACCACUGAUUGUUGAGUCUUUGGACUGAUGACAAAGACAACAGAGACAUGAAGCAGUAAAGAUCAGAGACAGAGCUGCUGUGGAAGCAGAAAACUCUGUGAUUGGUUGAGUUGAAGUGGCCCCGCCCACUGAACUUCAGCUCCUCCAAUGACAUUAUUUCUUCCUCCUUCUACUACAGUGGAAGAACAUUGUUCAUCUGCUGUGUGUGGCUUUAAGAGCUCCAGAGACAUGUUGCUUUACCUCUUUUUGCUUCUAUCUCACCUUCUAGGUGAGUUUAAGAUCAGGGAUUCAAGUUUUGUUCCAGCUGCUGCAUCAACCACAGAUACAGACUGCAUUUCACUACUUUUCUGCUUU